RNAcentral lists this long non-coding RNA (427 nucleotides) under dengue virus type 2. RNAcentral's name for it is "Dengue virus 2 sfRNA1". The stretch from base 335 to 427 matches the Rfam family "Flavivirus 3' UTR cis-acting replication element (CRE)". The record is from RNAcentral. Lineage: Riboviria; Orthornavirae; Kitrinoviricota; Flasuviricetes; Amarillovirales; Flaviviridae.
UGAAAGUCAGGUCGGAUUAAGCCAUAGUACGGGAAAAACUAUGCUACCUGUGAGCCCCGUCCAAGGACGUAAAAAGAAGUCAGGCCAUCACAAAAAUGCCACAGCUUGAGCAAACUGUGCAGCCUGUAGCUCCACCUGAGGAGGUGUAAAAAACCCGGGAGGCCACAAACCAUGGAAGCUGUACGCAUGGCGUAGUGGACUAGCGGUUAGAGGAGACCCCUCCCUUACAAAUCGCAGCAACAACGGGGGCCCAAGGUGAGAUGAGGCUGUAGUCUCACUGGAAGGACUAGAGGUUAGAGGAGACCCCCCCAAAACAAAAAACAGCAUAUUGACGCUGGGAAAGACCAGAGAUCCUGCUGUCUCCUCAGCAUCAUUCCAGGCACAGAACGCCAGAAAAUGGAAUGGUGCUGUUGAAUCAACAGGUUCU